ACGCCGCGUGAGGGAUGACGGCCUUCGGGUUGUAAACCUCUUUCAGCAGGGAAGAAGCGAAAGUGACGGUACCUGCAGAAGAAGCGCCGGCUAACUACGUGCCAGCAGCCGCGGUAAUACGUAGGGCGCAAGCGUUGUCCGGAAUUAUUGGGCGUAAAGAGCUCGUAGGCGGCCAGUCACGUCGGAUGUGAAAGCCCGAGGCUUAACCUCGGGUCUGCAUUCGAUACGGGCUGGCUAGAGUGUGGUAGGGGAGAUCGGAAUUCCUGGUGUAGCGGUGAAAUGCGCAGAUAUCAGGAGGAACACCGGUGGCGAAGGCGGAUCUCUGGGCCAUUACUGACGCUGAGGAGCGAAAGCGUGGGGAGCGAACAGGAUUAGAUACCCUGGUAGUCCACGCCGUAAACGUUGGGAACUAGGUGUUGGCGACAUUCCACGUCGUCGGUGCCGCAGCUAACGCAUUAAGUUCCCCGCCUGGGGAGUACGGCCGCAAGGCUAAA
This 494-nucleotide ribosomal RNA is filed under the name Streptomyces toxytricini. Its description in RNAcentral is "bacterial SSU rRNA". It matches the Rfam family "Bacterial small subunit ribosomal RNA", at positions 394 to 898 of the family's 1533-position model. Lineage: Bacteria; Bacillati; Actinomycetota; Actinomycetes; Kitasatosporales; Streptomycetaceae. The record is from RNAcentral.